AAGGAGGCCAGGAAAACUGACAGACAUGGGGUCGAGGUAUUUCAUGUUCAAUAGGUAGAUUUCUCAAUACAAUACAAGAGCCGAGCUAGCGCAAAUAGACCUAGAAACAUCAACCCUCAGCCAUAAAAGUGUGUUUUUCCACCACCAAAUCCAUGAUUGUGACACUGACGGGCUACUCGGGCAGGCAACAGAAGAUGCCAUGGAGCUUCUGCAGGAAAUUGGUUGGAGGGGACACGUGACACUAUCAAAUAAGAAAGAAAAUGGUCAGUGGCUCGUGGCUUUCAGGCGUCAGGGAGGUGGUGUCAUCUCAAAGGGAAUAAUGGCAGGCAGUUUGUGGACCUCGAAUGCAGAAACCUGAUGGUGCAGAGAGUAACCAUACUUCAAGCAAAUAGGUGCACUGAAAUCAUUCGGGAGAUUGGCCUUCACAUGCAAGCCCAUGCAUUCAGCAAGCACCCAAAUCAACCAUCCGAUGACAUCACAAUAACAUUCAAUAUCCUAACUGUGCUGGACUGACAAUGUGACAACGUGGAGUGGUAGAAGCGUAGGAGAGCUGAGAAGAGCUGCAGAUGAGACAGACCAGGUGAUGGAGGCGACUCCAGGAGUGUGCCCUCCGGUUACAAUUUGAGGAUGAGGCGGCCAUAAACGCAAGUCUUUGCUGAAUGACGACGUUGAUAAUGGUGAUCUUAACCAGCAUGACAAACUGCGGUGAUGACAGCCCACCAAACCCUACAUGACAUUCGCUAGUGUGACCCGCUCUCCCAGUGAUCUUUCGGAUAUGAAUGGAGGUGUACAGUCCCCUCGGAGAUCCUCUCCAGCUUCAUCAACUGGUGAAGCUUCUGGAGCCUCAUCAUGGCCCAAUUUCAUGGCGCUGCAUACCGUAAGCAAAGAAACUGCGCUGAGCGGAAGCAGGGAAUUCCGCGCUUACCUCAAGUGUUUUGCACAUUUGAGCAGGAAAUUUUGGCUUGUGUGAGUGCGUACUCCAUGUUACUAGGCAUGCUGUACUUACAUGUUUACAACUAUUGCAUAGAUUCGACACCUGCACGUAAGCGGAAAGUGGUGUUGUAAGUGCAAAUUCGGCAGUAAGCAGAGCCAUGAAGUUGGGCCUUGAUGCACAGAUGACACAACAAGGACAUUAGAAAGCCAUCUCAGAGCUGCUGAAGGACUCUCCUUCAAUCCAAACAAAAUCCCUCAGAGAGAUGGACAUAAACGGACCCCAUCAUUGGACCAGUCAUCAGGUGGGGCUUGCAUCCCUCCGGCCCCCCUCCCCCCUCCUCCUCCACCACCCACUGAGAACAUUCUUCAUAUAGGUCAACCAUGCUCUGUCGGCUCUCAGUAAAGCUAAACAUCAGUUUGUCUUGUGAGCUCAACAAUCUAUCAAUUGAAUAGUUCUGUCAGAUAAAACAAGAAAGGACAGACACUGUUCUUUAUUCCUGUUCUGUACACAUUUUGUUAUUGAUUGUAUAGUUUUUACAUUGCAGAUUGUACAUGAGAGUGAGUGAUCAUAAUAUACUCUAUUACGUGCUAUUUAGCCAACCAGUACCCAUGCAAGUCCAUAAAGUCAAUAAAAGGCAACCUGCGAGGGCGUAUUGUUGCUCUGGCCUAAUUUCAUGGCUCUGCUUACUAUAAAAAAAGAAUCAGCGCUUACAAAGCAGGGAAUUACGGCGCUUAUGUCAAGCGUAUUUCACAGGUUAGCAGGAAAUUUUUGCUUGUGGGCAUGCUUACUCCAUGGUACCUAGCACUUGCACAGUAAGCACAGAAUGUGACGGUAAGCAGAGCCAUGAAAUUAAGCCCGGUUAAUUUUGGGCAUGGAACUCUUUUGGGAGAUGAGCUGAGUUGCAGAUAAUCAGAGCUGAGCAGUAGAUCAGUGCAGCAGGAUGCAAAGUUGCAGAGCAGCUAGCCCACUGGUGGUUGCUGAUAGAGAUGGUUAGUUAGCUGAAUGAGCAGAGACAGAAUAGAUAUCCAGUGACACACACAGCAGGCUACACAGAGCACACAAUAAAUCAAACCGUAUGCUAUUUACUAGAGCAGCGCAGACUCCCUACCCCCUACACAUUUCCACAAUUCAUAAGAUGCACAGUAUACAAAUUGAAUCACUCAAUCUGAUAUUACAUACAAAGUGUACUAAUUGUGAAUAUUGAUGGUUGAAGUUUGCAUCAAUACAUAACCACAAUUCUUCUGUUGAAAUUAAAUAAAACGUUUCAAAGACUGAUUUAUAUUGCUGUUUUAGUUGUCAGAUAAUAAGUAGACUGGCUCCUUGAUCUUCCCCAAACUCUCCUUUAUUGACUCCAAGAUCAUCAUGACCUAUCUGCCAACUGUUCAGACUUGAUUGGAAUUGCCAGAUUUUUAAGAUUACAGAUUACAGGCUGCAAAAAAUCAGAACAUUCCUACUUCUGAAAAGAAACCACUGUGAACAAUUUCUGGCAAAAGUGUGUUCCAUUUGUUUGUGACAGCAGAGAUUUUCUUACAGAGAUUUGAGCACAUUGUAUUGGUGUACAUAAUUUGUUAUGAAUGUAAUAAGCUUUACUGCAUAACCUUUUGUGUUUCUAUCUGAGAACUUUAAAAACUGGUGUUCCUAUUGUUGAGGUUUCACGGUUGGCAGGUAUGGAUUAUGCCCCUUUUAGUUUCCAUGUUUAUAUCAUCAGCCUCUGUGGGUAAAUGCUCUCCCAUAGACAAAACCCCAAACACCAAGUCCACCCUCCCCCAAAACACUAAGCCCACCACACCCCUCCCCUCUACUCCCAUCAGCGAUGAAACAUUGGCGUUAACAAUCCUGUUCCUAAUCAGCGGAUGCAGAUCAACUACUUCCGGGUCCCAUCUAUCCCUACAGCUUAAUCAACCCAGUCUAAUCUUAUAUUAUUCUUAACUGUAAAGGUGUAUUCUAAAAUAAAUGAACCCUAAAUCUUGAAAACAUCAGAAUAAAUGUGUACUGCACACCUCUG
This is a long non-coding RNA of Asterias rubens (European starfish), 2939 nucleotides long. RefSeq lists it as uncharacterized. The transcript has 3 exons. The record is from RefSeq and is a predicted model, not a curated record. Lineage: Eukaryota; Metazoa; Echinodermata; Asteroidea; Forcipulatida; Asteriidae.